RNAcentral lists this ribosomal RNA (253 nucleotides) under uncultured bacterium. Its description in RNAcentral is "partial 16S ribosomal RNA". It matches the Rfam family "Bacterial small subunit ribosomal RNA", at positions 524 to 776 of the family's 1533-position model. The record is from RNAcentral.
UACGUAGGGUGCAAGCGUUAAUCGGAACUACUGGGCGUAAAGCGUGCGCAGGCGGUUUUGUAAGUCUGACGUGAAAUCCCCGGGCUUAACCUGGGAAUUGCGUUGGAGACUGCAAGGCUGGAGUCUGGCAGAGGGGGGUAGAAUUCCACGUGUAGCAGUGAAAUGCGUAGAGAUGUGGAGGAACACCGAUGGCGAAGGCAGCCCCCUGGGUCAAGAUUGACGCUCAUGCACGAAAGCGUGGGGAGCAAACAGG